This 368-nucleotide ribosomal RNA is filed under the name uncultured organism. Its description in RNAcentral is "bacterial SSU rRNA". It matches the Rfam family "Bacterial small subunit ribosomal RNA", at positions 526 to 896 of the family's 1533-position model. The record is from RNAcentral.
CGUAGGUGGCAAGCGUUGUCCGGAUUUAUUGGGUUUAAAGGGUGCGUAGGCGGUCUAUUAAGUCAGUGCUGAAAUAUCCCGGCUUAACCGGGAGGGUGGCAUUGAUACUGAUGGACUUGAGUGCAGUCGAGGUAGGCGGAAUUGACGGUGUAGCGGUGAAAUGCUUAGAUAUCGUCAAGAACACCGAUAGUGAAGACAGCUUACUAGACUGUAACUGACGCUGAGGCACGAAAGUGUGGGGAUCAAACAGGAUUAGAUACCCUGGUAGUCCACACUGUAAACGUUGAUUACUCGAUGUGUGCGAUAUACAGUACGCGUCUUAGCGCAAGCGAUAAGUAAUCCACCUGGGGAGUACGCCGGCAACGGUG